UGAGUAACACGUGGGUAACCUGCCUGUAAGACUGGGAUAACUCCGGGAAACCGGAGCUAAUACCGGAUAGUUCCUUGAACCGCAUGGUUCAAGGAUGAAAGACGGUUUCGGCUGUCACUUACAGAUGGACCCGCGGCGCAUUAGCUAGUUGGUGGGGUAAUGGGUUACCCAAGGGGCCAUGCGUUUUCUACCUUUUAGGGUGAUUUGGUCACACUKGGACUGAGACACGGSCCAGACUCCUACGGGAGGCAGCAGUAGGGAAUCUUCCGCAAUGGACGAAAGUCUGACGGAGCAACGCCGCGUGAGUGAUGAAGGUUUUCGGAUCGUAAAGCUCUGUUGUUAGGGAAGAACAAGUGCGAGAGUAACUGCUCGCACCUUGACGGUACCUAACCAGAAAGCCACGGCUAACUACGUGCCAGCAGCCGCGGUAAUACGUAGGUGGCAAGCGUUGUCCGGAAUUAUUGGGCGUAAAGGGCUCGCAGGCGGUUUCUUAAGUCUGAUGUGAAAGCCCCCGGCUCAACCGGGGAGGGUCAUUGGAAACUGGGAAACUUGAGUGCAGAAGAAGAGAGUGGAAUUCCACGUGUAGCGGUGAAAUGCGUAGAAGAUGUGGAGGAACACCAGUGGCGAAGGCGACUCU
RNAcentral lists this ribosomal RNA (637 nucleotides) under Bacillaceae bacterium HP10. RNAcentral's name for it is "bacterial SSU rRNA". It matches the Rfam family "Bacterial small subunit ribosomal RNA", at positions 107 to 728 of the family's 1533-position model. The record is from RNAcentral. Lineage: Bacteria; Bacillati; Bacillota; Bacilli; Caryophanales; Bacillaceae.